AAGCUGCCAAUGAGCUGCCAGUUUGGAUGGCAGCUGUCAACACGGCAAGGGCCUGCAGGCGCAUCAGCCCUCCCCCCGUUCCUCUACUGCCAUUGGAGACAGGAUGCUUUGUAAAAGAUUGUUUCUUUUCUUCAGUGGGAGCUCAUGAAGGUGGCACUGUGCACAGAGGGACAGAGUGGCUGACAGUGAGCUGCCCAAGACAACCUGCUGGCUCUCAUGACCAUCUCCGAAAGCCUCUGGAUGGGCUAAUUGACAGGCGUGCCUGGACAUUUAUAAAUGGCUGCUCUUAUAUGCACCAUGAAGAUAU
Ixodes scapularis (black-legged tick) is the source of this 307-nucleotide long non-coding RNA. RefSeq lists it as uncharacterized. The record is from RefSeq and is a predicted model, not a curated record. The transcript is spliced from 3 exons. NCBI's taxonomy places the organism in Eukaryota, Metazoa, Arthropoda, Arachnida, Ixodida, Ixodidae.